CCCCUCCCCAGCUCCCCCCACACAGUAAGAAGCUCCCAAGUGAGCGGCUCCGGUGCCGGGCGGGACGUGGGAGGGAGGCUGUGUCCCCGCGGGGAGGCAGGGCGACGGCGUCCAGGAGAGAGGCGAGCGGGGCGGCGUCCCAGGCACCCUGCGCCUCUCCCGCCCGCAAUGUGCGGGUUCCCGGAGCCCAGGCCCGCACCCCGGGUACUUGAAGGCCGCCGGGCUCCGCCUUCACCACGUGGGCCCUGAGUUCCUCCGCGGCGCCUUCGUGGGCGACACGCGAUUCCUGAGCUUCCACAGCCGCGGCGAGAAUCAGAGCGUGAAGCGCGGGUGGAGAAGAUGGCACAGGGCUGUGGGCGCCCUGAGGAAAGUUCUCGAAGACCGCAGGGAAUGUGUUACUGAGGGGCCUGAGGUUCCUGGGCCCGCACCACCACCAGGGUCAGCCGGUGAGUGACCUCAGACUCCGGGCACAGGUGUGCCCCGCCCCGACCCCAGAGUGACCAGCCCGGUUCUCCCAGGGAUGGGGGGGCGGGGCCUCAGCUGAUCCCUCUCAGGUGGGGAAGCGCUGGGGCCAUUUUGCUCCAGGUUUCUCCUUCAAUCUGGAUCAUGACUGACUUGUUCUGUGACCAAUGACAGAGGGAGGAAGGAGCUGGGGUGGGCGGGGCGACCUCCCUCCCCUCCCUGGCCCCGCCUCCGGCUCACCCUGGGGCAGGUCCAGGGCACCGCACCUGCAGAUGCUGCUGUCUGGCUGGGUGGUGGCUCCGGACAGGAGCUUCCUCGAAGGACACUUUAAGUCCGCCUACGACAAGGAGAUUUCAUGUCCCUGAACGAGGACCUGCAGACCUGGACAGCGGCUCAAAGAGCGGCUUGGAGGAUCCAUCACACCUGGGAGAGGUUCUGGACCGCGGAGGCCACAAGGGAAGCCCCGAUGGGUCACUGCACUAGGUGGCUGCUCAGACACCUGGAGCAUGGCAAGGAGAUGAUGCUGCCGGCAGGUACUGGGGUCCUCCAGGCCCCACGUCAGGACCUCUUGGAGCUGGAAUUAUGUUCCUUGGAGGCAUCCAUAUUUGAGGAAAGAGGAGACCGAACAGUCUCCGUCUCCUCCUCCUCCUCCUUCUCCUCCUCCGUCGCCGCCUCCUCCUCCUCCUCCCUACUGCGGGGUUGGGGAUUCUGGCCCAGGCUCCUGAGGCUCUCCCAUGGGUGGGUGGGGAGGGAGGACAGAGAAGAAGGAGUGCAGGGAGGUAAAUAGGAAAGGACAGUAGUUACCCUUGUCAACAGUGAGGUACUUGGGUCUAGCUUCACCGGGAAUCUUUUUCUUUCCUGGCCCUCUGUGCCCAACAAUUACAUAUAAUCUUUAACCCAACCAGAAGAUAAAACACCAGGAAACGGAAUCGGCAGAGACACAGUAGAUGAAAGUACCACGAAGGACUGCUAGGUUCUAAUAGAAAGUAGCAGAUAGCCCCGUGGAGAUUCCUGCUGUGCAGCAAAGCCUGGGAGGGGCCCUUGGCUGUGGAAGGCAGGCUGAGACGUCAUAGGAACUUCCUUCUCUGGGAUCCCAAACUCCUAGACCAGCUGAGUACGUUGAGGGGAUGGGAAGCACCAACACCCCACGCGGGUUACCGGAAGUGCUGCCCAAGCAGCUUCCUAGCCCAGUAGUCCUGGAUCUGCCACUUGCUAACUAGAAGGUGUCAUCUGCAGAAGGUAAGUAAGGCAUUUAUCUCCAUUCACUUUAUAUUUAGUUAUCAAAUCUCCAUGUAGCUCAGGUAGAUCGAGCUGAAAACAUUCUUGUGUUUAGUAAUAUAGCCAUUGAGCACACCAUCAUUGCUCUUUUCAUACCUUAGUCCUACUCAAAGAUUAAAGUGACAGCUUCCCAGUUAUGAUAAAAAAGUAUAAAACAUUCUGAGGGACCUGUAAACUAUAAAGCUAAAAUAUCAGCUUCUGCAUGCAACAUAUAUGUCAAAUUCUAUGUCCAAUACUCUUCUCGUUUUUAGAAUUAAUUCUGCAAACUUGAAGAUUGAGCUUUUUAUGAACUGAUUGGCAUCUGCUAUGCUCACCAGAUUAUUCCCACUUGACUGAGAGGAUGGUGGUAGCAAGAGCUCCUUCCUUUCAGAGGCUUUUAAAAAUACUUAUUGGGAAGAAUGUACCACAUAAGGCAUUUAACUAAUGAAACCACAGAUAUAACCACUGGCAAAAAAAUCAAACAAACAUUUCUUUAACUGCCCUGUACUUGGUACAUUCUCUUCCUCCUGCUAAGGAAGUAUCUCCUCUCCCUUCACUUCACAGACUGGAAUUUUCCAAAUUCCUAGUCUCAACAAGACAAACUGUAUUUUGAAAUCACUGUUUUCCCAGAAUACCCGGAGUGUUACCAUGACUCCAGAAGAUGCCUUCAACCAAGACUCAUAAUCUGACUGUAAGAAACCUUCAGAUAAGGUAUUGGGAACUUCUGUAAAAUUGUAGCUGGGCUGUGAUUAGAGAAUUUUCACAAUAUCAACGAAUCUUACAAAAGAGCUGCUGAUCCAACAGGUCCUCAGAGAUCCUGUGUGGGAACCAGAAGGUAUUCUGUGAAAAACGACAAUAAGAAUAACCAUAAUAACAAUAAUGGCUGCAUUUAAAAGGCUCUUGCUAUAUUUCAGGCACUGGUUUUUGUACCUACAUGGAUUAUUUUGUUCAAUAUUUAUCACAACCAUAUGAGAAGGAUGUUAUUAUCCACAAUAAAUAAAUGAAAUCUGUAAACUGUAACUUGUUCAAGAAAAUUAGGUACAGAGAUGUUAAGUUACUUGCCCAAAGUUCCAUAAUUUUGAAGAUAUGAGGCUAGAAUUCAGUUCCAGGCCAUUUUACACUAGAUCUACUAAUUUAGCCACUGUAUGAUUGUACCAAGACUGACCUAAAGCUACCUCCCCUUCCCCAACAGGUUCUUUUAUGACAGUGAGUAUAAAAUACAGGGCUAAUGACGUAUUGGGUGCAGAGAGGGGUUGGAAAGAAUGUGGUAUUUCAGACUAUGCUUACUAUGCUUAAAAAUCACAAUUCCGUGGUGACUAGAGUUUAUCUUAAACUUUCCUCCCUGGCAUUCCAUUGCAUCCAGUUGAGAGAGCACUCUAGCUCCCUACAUCCCAGAACAUGUAGAUCUGUCCGUGGUUCUGAAAGAUACACUGGCAGGUCCCGCCAACUACAUGAAUGGCAUUCAUAUUGUGGAAAACUGCCCACUAGUAAAAAUGUACAGUUGAACUUGUACAUUCAUUACUUACAAGGUUGGAGAACGUGAAGUACUGGACAAUCCAACAAUAGCUUGGAAAGAUACCAUAAAAAGACCCGCAGAAUAUUCUUUUAUAUGCAUUAUACUGAAAUGUACAAAACAAAACCAGAAUGGGACACAUUAUGAGUGAGAAGUUUAUCUUGAAAUUUUAAUCAGAAUAUGAAGAAAAGAAAUCCAACAUUAGACCUGGAAAAAGAUAAAAUAAUUUGUAUUUCAUUUAACAAUAUUUAUAGAUUCUCAAUAUAUACACUAUCCUUUUAAACCUCAAUUUAUAUUUAACCAUCCAUUUACCUUUAUUUUUUGUUUGUUUUUUUCUUUCACCUCAUACUUUCUACCUGGGAUAUCUUUUUGUGACUAAAGUACAUUCUUUAGAACUUCUUGUACUUUACUAGGUGUGUUUGUGUUAAAUUGUUUGUCUUCAAAAUUCAUUGAGAUUUAAAUUUUAUUAUUAUAUUUUCAUGCUUAAGUGUUAUGUGUUUGUCUCUUCAAAUUUUUCUGAAGAUUAUUUAUAGUUUUAUAGUCACUAAAUGUAUUUAACAAUCUGUUCUUUAAUCAUAGCCCAUUUAGCAAUUUUAUAUCCUAUACAAUUAUUCUGAUUUCUCAGUUAUAUGAUUGUAUGAUUCUGCUGUCUGUUGUAUUUUCUUGUUCUUUCACGGUGCUUUGUCUCUUAUGAACAUUGUUCUCUGUUGUUGUUCUUAACUGUUAAGUGCUCCUUUUGCUGGUGUAAUGAUUUUUUGGAAUUUUCAGAGUGCCAAUGACAGUAGAAAUUUUUCAGAGAAGUUUUGCUUGAUUUUCCAAGGUUCCUUGGAGUCUGCACUACUUUAAAAUAAAUUCAUGCCUUGAUGAUUUUUAGACCACCCAGGGAGUGUGAACUCGGGCUGCAAAUCCACUUCUCUUUAAUCUCAGGAGAAGGUUUUGCCCCUCUCCACUCAGCACCAAGGUGACUUUCUGGGGAGACCUUCAAGCAAGGAUGUUUUCCUUAUACUGAGGAGCUGGCUUUGGGAUCCUGGUGAAAUGAGGAGAACACUCUAUUAAAUUUCCCACUCUGAGUGCUACCUGAACUCUGUCUUCUAUUCCAAAUGCCUUAGGAGGCCAUGAAAACUAAACCUUAAUUAUCCUACAUUAAGUAAAUAAGCUCAGCAAAAAAAGUAAAUGCACAAUUCCGUGAUUUAGGAUUUGACAAUUUUUAUUAAAGUUUAAG
Molecule: long non-coding RNA, 4454 nt
Organism: Homo sapiens (human)
Lineage: Eukaryota; Metazoa; Chordata; Mammalia; Primates; Hominidae
Exons: 4
Source: RefSeq, a predicted model, not a curated record